UUGAGAAGAGCUGCUGCAGGCAUUUGCAGAGUGAAUGAGAUCUGACUGAGACUUGACUUCAGAACCACUGGGCUGGCCUGGCCUCUUGACACAGCAACACACUGCUUCUUGCCUUCCAGGGAUGGCUCUGAGCUCUCGGGCGCGUGCCUUCUCCGUGGAAGCCUUGGUGGGGAGACCCAGCAAAAGAAAACUCCAAGACCCAAUACAGGCGGAGCAGCCUGAGCUGCAGGAGAAAAAGGGCGGAGAGGAAGAGGAGGAGAGAAGGAGCAGCGCUUCAGGGAAGAGCGAGCCGCUUGGUAAGUACUCCCAUUGCCCUGAGCCCGUUGCCUGAGCUUACUGGUUCCGCAUCUCUCCGCCUGGCUCGCGUCCCGACGCAGCCAGACAGCCACAUUAGGAGCCGCGAGACACCUCGACCACCUGGUGAAGGGGAAGUUUCAGCGCCUCCGAAUCCAUCCCGGAGUACAGCAGUUUCUUUGCGGUAAAGGGGAGGGUCCCUACAUAAUUGU
This 506-nucleotide small RNA is filed under the name Pan troglodytes (chimpanzee). RNAcentral's name for it is "retained intron". Lineage: Eukaryota; Metazoa; Chordata; Mammalia; Primates; Hominidae. The record is from RNAcentral.